This 1999-nucleotide ribosomal RNA is filed under the name Escherichia coli. Its description in RNAcentral is "partial 23S ribosomal RNA". It matches the Rfam family "Bacterial large subunit ribosomal RNA", at positions 1 to 2012 of the family's 2925-position model. The record is from RNAcentral. Lineage: Bacteria; Pseudomonadati; Pseudomonadota; Gammaproteobacteria; Enterobacterales; Enterobacteriaceae. RNAcentral also lists the same sequence under 1 other name.
GGUUAAGUGAAUAAGGGCGCACGGUGGAUGCCUUGGCACUAGGAGCCGAUGAAGGACGGGACUAACACCGAUAUGCUUUGGGGAGCUGUAAGUAAGCUAUGAUCCAGAGAUUUCCGAAUGGGGGAACCCAAUAUCUUUUAUAGGAUAUUACUUUUCAGUGAAUACAUAGCUGAUUAGAGGUAGACGCAGAGAACUGAAACAUCUUAGUACCUGCAGGAAGAGAAAGAAAAUUCGAUUCCCUGAGUAGCGGCGAGCGAAACGGGAAGAGCCCAAACCAACAAGCUUGCUUGUUGGGGUUGUAGGACUCCGAUAUGGUAGUCUGUUAGUAUAGUUGAAGGAUUUGGAAAAUUCCGCUAAAGAGGGUGAAAGCCCCGUAGACGAAAUGCUGACAACACCUAGGAGGAUCCUGAGUACGGCGGAACACGAGAAAUUCCGUCGGAAUCCGCGGGGACCAUCCCGCAAGGCUAAAUACUCCCUAGUGACCGAUAGUGAACCAGUACCGUGAGGGAAAGGUGAAAAGCACCCCGGAAGGGGAGUGAAAUAGAUCCUGAAACCGUGUGCCUACAACAAGUCAAAGCUCGUUAAUGAGUGAUGGCGUGCCUUUUGUAGAAUGAACCGGCGAGUUACGAUUGCAUGCGAGGUUAAGUCGAAGAGACGGAGCCGCAGCGAAAGCGAGUCUGAAUAGGGCGAAUGAGUAUGUAGUCGUAGACCCGAAACCAUGUGAUCUACCCAUGUCCAGGUUGAAGGUGCGGUAAAACGCACUGGAGGACCGAACCCACGUACGUUGAAAAGUGCGGGGAUGAGGUGUGGGUAGCGGAGAAAUUCCAAACGAACUUGGAGAUAGCUGGUUCUCUCCGAAAUAGCUUUAGGGCUAGCCUCGGAAUUGAGAAUGAUGGAGGUAGAGCACUGUUUGGACUAGGGGCCCAUCUCGGGUUACCGAAUUCAGAUAAACUCCGAAUGCCAUUCAUUUAUAUCCGGGAGUCAGACUGCGAGUGAUAAGAUCCGUAGUCGAAAGGGAAACAGCCCAGACCACCAGCUAAGGUCCCAAAAUAUAUGUUAAGUGGAAAAGGAUGUGGGGUUGCACAGACAACUAGGAUGUUGGCUUAGAAGCAGCCACCAUUUAAAGAGUGCGUAAUAGCUCACUAGUCGAGUGACCCUGCGCCGAAAAUGUACCGGGGCUAAACAUAUUACCGAAGCUGUGGACUACACCAUUAGGUGUAGUGGUAGGAGAGCGUUCUAAGGGCGUUGAAGGUCGAUCGUGAGGACGGCUGGAGCGCUUAGAAGUGAGAAUGCCGGUAUGAGUAGCGAAAGACAGGUGAGAAUCCUGUCCACCGUAUGACUAAGGUUUCCUGGGGAAGGCUCGUCCGCCCAGGGUUAGUCGGGACCUAAGCCGAGGCCGAUAGGCGUAGGCGAUGGACAACAGGUUGAUAUUCCUGUACCAGUUGUUUUUGUUUGAGCAAUGGAGGGACGCAGUAGGCUAAGGAAUGCAUGCGAUUGGAAGUGCAUGUCCAAGCAAUGAGUCUUGAGUAGAGUUAAAUGCUUUACUCUCUAAGGACAAGUUGUGACGGGGAGCGAAAUAAUAGUAGCGAAGUUCCUGAUGUCACACUGCCAAGAAAAGCUUCUAGUGAGAAAACAACUGCCCGUACCGUAAACCGACACAGGUAGUCGAGGAGAGUAUCCUAAGGUGAGCGAGCGAACUCUCGUUAAGGAACUCGGCAAAAUGACCCCGUAACUUCGGGAGAAGGGGUGCUGACUUCGGUCAGCCGCAGUGAAUAGGCCCAAGCGACUGUUUAUCAAAAACACAGGUCUCUGCAAAAUCGUAAGAUGAAGUAUAGGGGCUGACGCCUGCCCGGUGCUGGAAGGUUAAGAGGAUGGGUUAGCUUCGGCGAAGCUCAGAAUUGAAGCCCCAGUAAACGGCGGCCGUAACUAUAACGGUCCUAAGGUAGCGAAAUUCCUUGUCGGGUAAGUUCCGACCCGCACGAAAGGCGUAACGAUUUGG